AGAAGGGUAAGGAAAUCUCUGUUACAACUUACAAUAGCUUUUUCCUUGUGUAAUUUUUCACCAAGUAAACAGUGAAGAAACAUUGAAUUGUUGAGAGCAGUCUGUCUGUGGAACACUGGAACUGCUAAUAACGUCUAGUAGGGGAUGAAAUUUAUUAAUACCUGUAAUGAACUGAUGUCAAUCCCUUUUGGUGUGUGGACACAGUUGCUGGAUGAGAGGCAAAGUUU
RNAcentral lists this unclassified non-coding RNA (227 nucleotides) under Hevea brasiliensis (rubber tree). Lineage: Eukaryota; Viridiplantae; Streptophyta; Magnoliopsida; Malpighiales; Euphorbiaceae. The record is from RNAcentral.